GCUGGUAAUAACUCAUACUUUCCUCCAGCGCUCCUGAGGAAAUGAGGACAAGCUGCCACCCUCAUGGGGGUGACGGCGAGGGAGGGAAAACAGGGCACCUAGGUGAAACCUCUGAGCCCUCCAACACCGCUAGGAAGAAAGUUUACAAGUCUCAAGAGUAUGAAGAUAUCGAUGACAACAGCAACUGAGAAAUAAUUCAAUGAUUAUGUCACUCUCAGAAGAUG
Molecule: long non-coding RNA, 224 nt
Organism: Rhea pennata
Lineage: Eukaryota; Metazoa; Chordata; Aves; Rheiformes; Rheidae
Exons: 3
Source: RefSeq, a predicted model, not a curated record